Molecule: ribosomal RNA, 201 nt
Filed under: Corydalis rupestris
Lineage: Eukaryota; Viridiplantae; Streptophyta; Magnoliopsida; Ranunculales; Papaveraceae
Source: RNAcentral
CGAAACCUGCCCAGCAGAACGACCCGCGAACACGUGAUGCCCCGGUUCAUGGGGGCAAGGGGCCACCCCUUCCCCCUCCGGACGGGAGGCGCACCGAGAGGAUCGCCCCCGCCCGAUAAAAAACGAACCCCCGGCGCGAUCCGCGCCAAGGAAAACCGAAAACGGAUCGAGCGCCCGGAAGGACGCUCCCCGACCUCUUAA